GAUGAACGCUAGCGACAGGCUUAACACAUGCAAGUCGAGGGGUAGAGGAAGCUUGCUUCCUUGAGACCGGCGCACGGGUGCGAAACGCGUAUACAAUCUACCUUAUACAGGGGGAUAGCCCAGAGAAAUUUGGAUUAAUACCCCAUAGGAUUACAGAAUGGCAUCAUUUAGUAAUUAAAGCCACGGUGGUAUAAGAUGAGUAUGCGUCCUAUUAGCUAGUUGGAGAGGUAACGGCUCACCAAGGCAACGAUAGGUAGGGGUCCUGAGAGGGAGAUCCCCCACACUGGUACUGAGACACGGACCAGACUCCUACGGGAGGCAGCAGUGAGGAAUAUUGGUCAAUGGACGGAAGUCUGAACCAGCCAUGUCGCGUGCAGGAAGACGGCCUUAUGGGUUGUAAACUGCUUUUUAUACAGGGAUAAACCCCUUCUCGUGAGGAGGGCUGAAGGUACUGUAUGAAUAAACACCGGCUAACUCCGUGCCAGCAGCCGCGGUAAAGUCGAUA
Molecule: ribosomal RNA, 505 nt
Filed under: uncultured bacterium
Lineage: Bacteria
Description: bacterial SSU rRNA
Rfam family: Bacterial small subunit ribosomal RNA
Source: RNAcentral